AUUGAACGCUGGCGGCAGGCCUAACACAUGCAAGUCGAACGGUAACAGGAAGCAGCUUGCUGCUUUGCUGACGAGUGGCGGCCGGGUGAGUAAUGUCUGGGAAACUGCCCGAUGGAGGGGGAUAACUACUGGAAACGGUAGCUAAUACCGCAUAACGUCGCAAGACCAAAGAGGGGGACCUUAGGGCCUCUUGCCAUCGGAUGUGCCCAGAUGGGAUUAGCUAGUAGGUGGGGUAACGGCUCACCUAGGCGACGAUCCCUAGCUGGUCUGAGAGGAUGACCAGCCACACUGGAACUGAGACACGGUCCAGACUCCUACGGGAGGCAGCAGUGGGGAAUAUUGCACAAUGGGCGCAAGCCUGAUGCAGCCAUGCCGCGUGUAUGAAGAAGGCCUUCGGGUUGUAAAGUACUUUCAGCGGGGAGGAAGGGAGUAAAGUUAAUACCUUUGCUCAUUGACGUUACCCGCAGAAGAAGCACCGGCUAACUCCGU
RNAcentral lists this ribosomal RNA (489 nucleotides) under uncultured bacterium. Its description in RNAcentral is "partial 16S ribosomal RNA". It matches the Rfam family "Bacterial small subunit ribosomal RNA", at positions 30 to 506 of the family's 1533-position model. The record is from RNAcentral.